RNAcentral lists this transfer RNA (85 nucleotides) under Halopolyspora algeriensis. It matches the Rfam family "tRNA". Rfam says of the family: Transfer RNA (tRNA) molecules are approximately 80 nucleotides in length. The record is from Rfam by way of RNAcentral. Lineage: Bacteria; Bacillati; Actinomycetota; Actinomycetes.
GUCGGAGUGGCGGAAAGGCAGACGCGCUAGCUUGAGGUGCUAGUGCCCUAUAUUGGGCGUGGGGGUUCAAGUCCCCCCUCCGACA